Phrynosoma platyrhinos (Desert horned lizard) is the source of this 72-nucleotide non-coding RNA. Lineage: Eukaryota; Metazoa; Chordata; Lepidosauria; Squamata; Phrynosomatidae. The record is from the annotation of a GenBank genome assembly.
GCCAGUAUGGUGUAGUGCUUUGAACAUUGGACUAUGAUUCUGGAGAUCAGGGUUCAAUUCCUUGCUCUGCCA